RNAcentral lists this long non-coding RNA (973 nucleotides) under Chloebia gouldiae (Gouldian finch). RNAcentral describes it as "Erythrura gouldiae (Gouldian finch) lncRNA (ENSEGOG00005002255.1)". The record is from RNAcentral. Lineage: Eukaryota; Metazoa; Chordata; Aves; Passeriformes; Passeridae.
UGCCCCACAUUCUGCCUGUGCUGUACUUUUCCUCACCCAAGUUUGGCUUGUUUAAUCCCAUUUUUAGAAGGGCGGAACAUGGGCAUUCAAACACUUGAGAUGGGGAAAUCCCACUGUCAGAGGCAGCAUAGCAAUGGUUGAGUAAUUUGAGGAGCAAGUUCCAUCACCAACAACAGCAACUCUUUCUCUGGUACCCUGUUUGAGUUUCCUCAGGCUUCUGUUCUUUGAUAAACGACUGCAAUAGUCUUCUGUAAAGGGUAAAGUGAAUUUCAGAUUAAAAGUACUCAAACAGAUGACUGAAGCACUCUGAACUUUAAAGCCAAACCUUUUGAACAAAUUUUGGUGCUGCAAGAGGUGGCACCUUGGUGGCUUUAAGAUAAUCACAGCUCCACUUGUGGCAACUUACUUUAGCAACCCCUUGCAGCUGCUCAGCCCCAGGUGAGAUCUGUGGCCUUCAGCUGCUUUUACAGGUUUGCUGGACUGGCAAGAAGCAUUGGUGAUGCAAGCAGCAGAUGGGACAGGACUGUUCCCUGGGAGACCACUGCAGGUAUAAGGAACUGGAGCAACCUCCCAGAAGAAGAUAUCUCUGCAUCUUUCUUAUGCUUGUGAAACAGACCCCUAGGCCUGACUAAUCCCACUGAGGGCUGGGUGAAUCCACAGAGCAUAUCUGAGUCUCUUUUGAAAAGUCACCAGCAGAUGAAGUAAUUUGAGGCCUCACCCACAGUUUAUUCAGCCAGCUGCAUAGGUCUCUUAACAGAGGUGCUUUUUAAUACAGCAUGUCAAGUGUUGAGAAAUACCACUUUGAUUUUGACAUACUCCCCACCAAGGAUGAUGUGUUUUCUGUUAUGCCUUGUUGUCAAGGUGAAGAAAUGAAUUAGCAUGGAUUUUUAAUUGAUUCAGUGUUGAACUCUGAUAUAAGCUGGAAGGGAAACAUCACCCUAGAUGAAUAAAGAGGUGGUGCAAGAGCUGAUCA